Puntigrus tetrazona (Sumatra barb) is the source of this 2820-nucleotide long non-coding RNA. RefSeq lists it as uncharacterized. The record is from RefSeq and is a predicted model, not a curated record. Lineage: Eukaryota; Metazoa; Chordata; Actinopteri; Cypriniformes; Cyprinidae. The transcript is spliced from 2 exons.
AGGGCUUUUCUUCGGGAUUCCUGUCUGUAAUGCUCCUCAAGAAAUUCCAGAAUCACUUCCAAAUCGGUCUGAUAUUCCUGCGGACUGCUCUGGGUUUAACUGUUCUGCAACAUCUGUGUCAAACCUUGGAAUUGCUUCCUGACCGCUGUGGAUGAUAAAAUGUGUCGAACUGUGCUUGAAGAGUAUGAAAAGGUAAUUACAUGUGCACUUUAAUCUUCAGCAUUUAAAAAAAAAAUAUUUAUCUGUAGAAAUUUUUAUUGCAGAAAGAUAAUAACUGAGCACUUAACCAAUAAAAAAAAAAAGUUAGGUUAAAUAUGUAAAUAAUGAACGAAUGAUUAACAGCCUUUAAAUAAGCCUUGUUUUGGUCUCGUCUCUUCCUCGCUAUCUGCCUUUAAAUGUUUGCGUGAAUUGGUUUAUGAAUUUAUGCGUUUCACGCCUGCCAAAGUAUUUACAUUUUCUGCCGAAGCAGUAGCGAGGGCUUUAUCUUUUCAAACAAAGAGCUGCUUUCCUUCCCCUUCUCUUCAACCCCUAUUCAAAAGGGCCAUUAAUACCAAACCCAAUGAGGGAAGGGCAGUAUAACCACAACAUAGCUCCUAUUCAACUUCUUUAUUUACUGGCACUCAAUCAAAAUGAGUUCCCAAAGUGCCUGCGCAGGUAAACAGAUCACUUAAGCUGUCCGAUGAAGUUAACUUCUAUAUCGUGGCUUACUGAUUCUGGGUAAGAAAACAAUACUGCCGUAAUUGUUGAUGUUAGGCCUGGCUCGAGUCCUUUGUGUAUUUAAUAGCGGAGCUUUAUGGCGAAACAUUUCAGCUCUAUUCAGUGAACAGCAGGCCCGAACCUUACCUGAUGUUUAAAUAGUUACAUUGCUUUUAAUCUUAAGGGCAGCUUAAAUAAAUAAUUUGUUUUUAUGCAUUUAUGUCUGUUUGAUCAUUAAAAGACAAUUCUGUUUAAAUUCGAGCCGCUGAAAUUUUAUUUGGUUCUGUUUGUUUGUUUUACAAAAAUAAGUUUAAUAAUACAUAGAAAUGUUACAUUCUGUCAUAAUGUUUUCGUUUUGUCAUGUUUGUUUGAGUGUUUGCUUUACAAAAGUCAUUCAUUUUAUUCCUUUUAUGCUUAAGACAAUUAUUAAGCGUGCAUUAAUUUAUUACAAAGCAAACAAACUGUAUUCAUGUAUUUAUUUAUUCAUUUAUAUUUUAAAUAAUGACUUUGUUCACUUAAUUCGAAAUCAAACUGUAAAACAAACGCAAUACGCUGCAUUUUCAAAUGUUUGCAUGCAACAGUCUGAUAGUUUUAUGAUAAGUCGAUCAACUGUCAUAUAAUUCCAUAACUGGAACACACCCAGAAUAGUUUUUUUUCCUCAUAGGUUUUUUCCAGUUUUCCACUGAACUGUGGAAGUACCAAAAACCAUGGAAGCCAGUGGCUACAGUUUGGUUAAGUAGACGUCUAGACUGCACUGUAUAGGCUUUUGCAAUAUUAUCCUGCAUUUGCAUAUUCACUUUUACAAAAAAUAAACCUUCUUUAUUGGCAUUACGCUUCCACGAAAAAAUGUUCUAUUCUGUAUAGUGAAAAAUAAAAUGUUGAUCGUUAAAUGAAUUUUGACAAAAAAAAGGUUCUUAAGAUUCUUUAAUUAUUCCUUUGCUAUGAAAAUAUCGAAUACCGGUUUUCAAUGCAAAACGAACACCAUUAGCUUGUUCAAAUUCAGCAAAAAUAAAAGGUUACUCGUUCUGUUUUCAUGACUGUAUGCAAAUCUUCAACUUGAGGUAAUUGUUUAUUGGCACAGCAAUAAAAGUUUUCGGAUUAAACUAAUUCGAACGAUGUCUUGCCACAAUCUUUGGAGAACCGGAAAAUUAUAUUUACAGAAACAGAGGGAGUGUGCUAUAUAUAUACUUCGAUCGUUAUUUGGAUGAAAAACAAUGAUUAUGCAUGGCUUUCUUGUAGAAGUGCCUCAGGUAAUUGCUCAAAAACAUUCCAAUUUAACAUGACACCAAACCUGAAGCAAAAUAGUAACCGUUUUUUUAGCACGGCACUUCAUUUGAUCAUAUACAGCUCUGUGUGUGUGUGUGUGUGUGUGUGUGUGUGUGUGUGUUUCCCCUUUAGGAAAGCCCUACAGCUAUGUGGAUCCCUCAACAGCUAGAUAUUGAUCAUUAUUGCACAUGUAAGGGAAUUCCCCUUAAAAAAGAGCAACUCGCUUUGGUGUCGUGUUAACCGAGAUAGAAGAUAUACAAAUUCAGUUAAAUGCUCGAAAAAGACAGGACAGCAAACAACAACAACAACAACAAAAAGGUAAUUAAAUGACAUUGUGCAAAAUCAAGCAAACCGAACUUUCACGCACUUUAUAACUGCUAAAUCACAUUGAGCGUCUUCUACUGAUCACUUUCAUUUCUCGAACAGGUUCAAGGCUCUCGAGCACUUCAUGAUAAAUGCAACUGUGUGUUUUAAAAGGCAUCGGAUGUAAACAAAUGCGGAAGCCCUUUACCUUUAUAUGCUUUUAAGGACCAUAAAUCCUGACUUUGUAACAAAUGAUAGAUAAAUAAUUCACAAUUAAAGUGCUAUUUCAAUUGGCUACAGGUUUUUUUUUUUUUUUUUUUUUGGCCAAAUUACAUGCUAAAUUUAUGUUUACCGGCCCAAGGAAUCAUGCUGUGUAACGAUUGUAAUUUUGCCAAACUGUACUACAAAAAGGGCAAGGCAAUACAUUUCUAACCUUAUGAUGGAAUUUGAGUAAAUGCAAGUCAAGGAAUUUAGACUUUAAUUAUAUAUAUAUAUGUGUGUGUGUGUGUGUGUGUGUGUGUGUGUGUGUGUGUGUGUGUCCCAAAUAACAUAUCU